UCGGUCAAUCAUGUGCAUCUUUAGUGGCGGACGGGUGAGUAACGCGUGGGUAACCUGCCUUACACAGGGGGAUAACACUUAGAAAUAGGUGCUAAUACCGCAUGAGCGCACAGGACCGCAUGGUCGAGUGUGAAAAACUGAGGUGGUGUAAGAUGGACCCGCGUCUGAUUAGCUGGUUGGUGAGGUAACGGCCCACCAAGGCGACGAUCAGUAGCCGGCCUGAGAGGGUGGACGGCCACAUUGGGACUGAGACACGGCCCAAACUCCUACGGGAGGCAGCAGUGGGGGAUAUUGGACAAUGGGGGGAACCCUGAUCCAGCGACGCCGCGUGAGUGAAGAAGUAUCUCGGUAUGUAAAGCUCUAUCAGCAGGGAAGAAGAAAUGACGGUACCUGGGUAAGAAGCCCCGGCUAACUACGUGCCAGCAGCCGCGGUAAUACGUAGGGGGCAAGCGUUAUCCGGAAUUACUGGGUGUAAAGGGAGCGUAGACGGUGAUGUAAGUCUGGAGUGAAAGGCGGGGGCCCAACCCCCGGACUGCUCUGGAAACUAUGUGACUGGAGUGCAGGAGAGGUGAGCGGAAUUCCUAGUGUAGCGGUGAAAUGCGUAGAUAUUAGGAGGAACACCAGUGGCGAAGGCGGCUCACUGGACUGUAACUGACGUUGAGGCUCGAAAGCGUGGGGAGCAAACAGGAUUAGAUACCCUGGUAGUCCACGCCGUAAACGAUGAUCACUAGGUGUGGGUGGGUAUGGACCCAUCGGUGCCGCAGCAAACGCAAUAAGUGAUCC
Molecule: ribosomal RNA, 783 nt
Filed under: uncultured bacterium
Lineage: Bacteria
Description: bacterial SSU rRNA
Rfam family: Bacterial small subunit ribosomal RNA
Source: RNAcentral